Non-coding RNA from Trichonephila inaurata madagascariensis, 74 nucleotides. The record is from the annotation of a GenBank genome assembly. NCBI's taxonomy places the organism in Eukaryota, Metazoa, Arthropoda, Arachnida, Araneae, Nephilidae.
UCCCCAGUGGCGCAAUUGGUUAGCGCUCGGUAUAUAGAAUGCCGGGUUGUGAGUUCACGUCCUCACCUGGGGAA